Molecule: ribosomal RNA, 255 nt
Filed under: Salmonella enterica subsp. enterica serovar Derby
Lineage: Bacteria; Pseudomonadati; Pseudomonadota; Gammaproteobacteria; Enterobacterales; Enterobacteriaceae
Description: partial 16S ribosomal RNA
Rfam family: Bacterial small subunit ribosomal RNA
Source: RNAcentral
GGCCGCAAGGUUAAAAACCAAAAUAAUUGACGGGGGCCCGGACAAGCGGUGGAGCAUGUGGUUUAAUUCGAUGCAACGCGAGGAACCUUACCGGGUCUUGACAUCCACAGAAGAAUCCAGAGAUGGAUUUGUGCCUUCGGGAACUGUGAGACAGGUGCUGCAUGGCUGUCGUCAGCUCGUGUUGUGAAAUGUUGGGUUAAGUCCCGCAACGAGCGCAUCCCUUAUCCUUUGUUGCCAGCGAUUAGGUCGGGAACU